RNAcentral lists this ribosomal RNA (253 nucleotides) under uncultured bacterium. RNAcentral's name for it is "partial 16S ribosomal RNA". It matches the Rfam family "Bacterial small subunit ribosomal RNA", at positions 524 to 776 of the family's 1533-position model. The record is from RNAcentral.
UACAGAGGGUGCAAGCGUUGUUCGGAAUUAUUGGGCGUAAAGGGCGCGUAGGCGGUGCGGUAAGUCUGUAGUGAAAUCUCUGGGCUCAACUCAGAGUCUGCUGCAGAAACUGCCGUGCUUGAGUGUGGGAGAGGUGAGUGGAAUUCCUGGUGUAGCGGUGAAAUGCGCAGAUAUCAGGAGGAACACCCGUGGCGAAAGCGGCUCUCUGGGACGGUACUGACGCUGAGACGCGAAAGCGUGGGGAGCAAACAGG